This 151-nucleotide transfer-messenger RNA is filed under the name Ignavibacteria bacterium RIFOXYB2_FULL_36_7. RNAcentral's name for it is "partial transfer-messenger RNA". It matches the Rfam family "transfer-messenger RNA", at positions 1 to 148 of the family's 374-position model. Rfam says of the family: Bacterial tmRNA, also known as 10Sa RNA or SsrA, is named for its dual tRNA and mRNA-like properties. Its role is to liberate the mRNA from a stalled ribosome. To accomplish this part of the tmRNA is used as a reading frame that ends in a translation stop signal. The record is from RNAcentral. Lineage: Bacteria; Pseudomonadati; Ignavibacteriota; Ignavibacteria.
GGGGGUGAAAUUGGCUUCGACGGGGUUGAAGAGACAUUGAACUGCACAUCGUGUUCCCCGAGUACACGUUAAACAAUUGGGAAUAAAACAAUAACUGGCGAAUAUAACUACGCCUUAGCUGCUUAAUUAAACAAGCAGCCGUUCUCCUUUC